This 128-nucleotide small nucleolar RNA is filed under the name Echinops telfairi (small Madagascar hedgehog). Its description in RNAcentral is "Small nucleolar RNA SNORA61 (ENSETEG00000026422.1)". Lineage: Eukaryota; Metazoa; Chordata; Mammalia; Afrosoricida; Tenrecidae. The record is from RNAcentral.
UCUCUCCAGAUUCCUUAUCUCUCAAACCUAAAUAGUGGUUUGAGUGGCUUAAAAGUAGAAGAGGAGGAAAAGUAGAAUUGAAAUGGACUUGGAGGCUUUAGUGACAAACAAGUUCAUGGCAAACAAAC